CUACGGGGGGCACCAGUGGGGAAUAUUGGACAAUGGGGGAAACCCUGAUCCAGCAAUGCCGCGUGUGUGAAGAAGGCCUGCGGGUUGUAAAGCACUUUCGGUUGGGAGGACUGCUUCUAGCACUAAUAUUGUUGGAAGUUGACGUUACCUUCAGAAGAAGCACCGGCUAACUCCGUGCCAGCAGCCGCGGUAAUACGGAGGGUGCAAGGCGUUAAUCGGAAUUACUGGGCGUAAAGCGCGCGUAGGCGGCUAGAUCAGUCGGGUGUGAAAGCCCCGGGCUUAACCUGGGAACUGCAUCCGAUACUGUCUAGCUUGAGUACAGGAGGGGAGAGUGGAAUUCCACAUGUAGCGGUGAAAUGCGUAGAUAUGUGGAGGAACACCAAUGGCGAAGGCAGCUCUCUGGCCUGAUACUGACGCUGAGGUGCGAAAGCGUGGGGAGCAAACAGGAUUAGAUACCCCGGUAGUC
RNAcentral lists this ribosomal RNA (466 nucleotides) under uncultured bacterium. RNAcentral's name for it is "partial 16S ribosomal RNA". It matches the Rfam family "Bacterial small subunit ribosomal RNA", at positions 339 to 795 of the family's 1533-position model. The record is from RNAcentral.